RNAcentral lists this unclassified non-coding RNA (355 nucleotides) under soil metagenome. RNAcentral's name for it is "partial contains 5.8S ribosomal RNA, internal transcribed spacer 2, and large subunit ribosomal RNA". The stretch from base 1 to 120 matches the Rfam family "5.8S ribosomal RNA", at positions 35 to 154 of the family's 154-position model. The record is from RNAcentral.
GAUGAAGAACGUAGUGAAAUGCGAUAAGUAGUGUGAAUUGCAGAAUUCAGUGAAUCAUCGAAUCUUUGAACGCACAUUGCGCCCGCCAGUAUUCUGGCGGGCAUGCCUGUCCGAGCGUCAUUUCAACCCUCGAACCCCUCCGGGGGGUCGGCGUUGGGGAUCGGCCCUGCCUCUUGGCGGUGGCCGUCUCCGAAAUACAGUGGCGGUCUCGCCGCAGCCUCUCCUGCGCAGUAGUUUGCACACUCGCAUCGGGAGCGCGGCGCGUCCACAGCCGUUAAACACCCAACUUCUGAAAUGUUGACCUCGGAUCAGGUAGGAAUACCCGCUGAACUUAAGCAUAUCAAUAAGCGGAGGA